This 435-nucleotide ribosomal RNA is filed under the name uncultured Microbacterium sp. Its description in RNAcentral is "bacterial SSU rRNA". It matches the Rfam family "Bacterial small subunit ribosomal RNA", at positions 957 to 1391 of the family's 1533-position model. The record is from RNAcentral. Lineage: Bacteria; Bacillati; Actinomycetota; Actinomycetes; Micrococcales; Microbacteriaceae.
UAACGCGAAGAACCUUACCAAGGCUUGACAUACACCAGAACAUCGUAGAAAUACGGGACUCUUUGGACACUGGUGAACAGGUGGUGCAUGGUUGUCGUCAGCUCGUGUCGUGAGAUGUUGGGUUAAGUCCCGCAACGAGCGCAACCCUCGUUCUAUGUUGCCAGCACGUAAUGGUGGGAACUCAUGGGAUACUGCCGGGGUCAACUCGGAGGAAGGUGGGGAUGACGUCAAAUCAUCAUGCCCCUUAUGUCUUGGGCUUCACGCAUGCUACAAUGGCCGGUACAAAGGGCUGCAAUACCGUGAGGUGGAGCGAAUCCCAAAAAGCCGGUCCCAGUUCGGAUUGAGGUCUGCAACUCGACCUCAUGAAGUCGGAGUCGCUAGUAAUCGCAGAUCAGCAACGCUGCGGUGAAUACGUUCCCGGGCCUUGUACACACC